AGCAGUGAAAUGCGUAGAUAUGGGAGGAACACCGGAUGGCGAAGGCAAUCCCCUGGGCCUGCACUGACGUCAUGCACGAAAGGCGUGGGGAGCAAACAGGAUUAGAUACCCUGGUAGUCCACGCCCUAACGAUGUCAACUGGGUUGUUGGACGGCUUGCUGUUCAGUAACGAAGCUAACGCGUGAAGUGACCGCAAGGCUUU
Molecule: ribosomal RNA, 202 nt
Filed under: uncultured Piscinibacter sp.
Lineage: Bacteria; Pseudomonadati; Pseudomonadota; Betaproteobacteria; Burkholderiales; Sphaerotilaceae
Description: partial 16S ribosomal RNA
Rfam family: Bacterial small subunit ribosomal RNA
Source: RNAcentral